ACUAAAGUAGCAAAGAGGCAAUGCUAGAAAUCUAAGUUUUCUCUACCGAAGGUUCAAAUCCUUUUUUUAGUU
RNAcentral lists this transfer RNA (72 nucleotides) under Crossaster papposus. RNAcentral's name for it is "tRNA-Leu". It matches the Rfam family "tRNA". From Rfam's summary of the family: Transfer RNA (tRNA) molecules are approximately 80 nucleotides in length. Their secondary structure includes four short double-helical elements and three loops (D, anti-codon, and T loops). Further hydrogen bonds mediate the characteristic L-shaped molecular structure. tRNAs have two regions of fundamental functional importance: the anti-codon, which is responsible for specific mRNA codon recognition, and the 3' end, to which the tRNAs corresponding amino acid is attached (by aminoacyl-tRNA synthetases). tRNAs cope with the degeneracy of the genetic code in two manners: having more than one tRNA (with a specific anti-codon) for a particular amino acid; and 'wobble' base-pairing, i.e. permitting non-standard base-pairing at the 3rd anti-codon position. The record is from RNAcentral. Lineage: Eukaryota; Metazoa; Echinodermata; Asteroidea; Velatida; Solasteridae.